Molecule: unclassified non-coding RNA, 3374 nt
Filed under: Hevea brasiliensis (rubber tree)
Lineage: Eukaryota; Viridiplantae; Streptophyta; Magnoliopsida; Malpighiales; Euphorbiaceae
Source: RNAcentral
UUUGAAAUUCAAGGUUCUAAUGCCUUAAAUUCCACGCUUCCUAGCCUUCAGCUUUUAGCUUAGGAAGGUGUGGUAUAUAUAGAAAUAGUUUCAAAGCUUGGAAAUGCCUUUGAAUCUUCCAUUUGUAUCACAUCCCUGCUUGACGAUUUCUUCAAUCUCCUCGCAUUACAUUAGGCAAAUAAUUUCUGCUUUGGAAGUUGUAUAAGCAAUGACAAAUAUUUUUACGGAACCAAGAUUUUGCAGACAUUCCUGAGUCCCAGGAUUCUUCCACACUAUUGCUAUGCUAAGCGUGGAAGGCCAUGCAAGGCAAGAGCUUCCAGGGUAGGAAGCCAAUUGUUUUAGAAUUAUAUAGUAUACAGUAUAUAAUAACAACAAUGUUGUCAUUAUAUUUGGACAAAGUGAUGAAAUAUACAAACAAACAAACAAAAUGUAUCCGCACAAAUACUUGUAUUUCAGGCGUGAAUGGGCUCCUCAUGUUUCUAAAUGGCAAUUCAAAAUAGAGCCAAGCAAGGGAAGAAAUAUAAAAGAUGAGGCCUAUAUUGUGAGGUAAGUUCUUAUCAUAGUUGCUCCAGUUGGAUCAGAAAAUAGAUGCCUAACAAGGCACAUUCUCAUAUCAUUCGGUGCAGUAAAAAACAUAUAGAAGGCAAACAGUAUCAGAUCAGCUGAGGACAGAUUCGAACCAAGGAAUCCCUGCCACAUCCUGCACAAAGAUACAUAUACCAGUUGUUCCAAGGUAAAGGUGCAAAGCUUGUAGUUAUGUAUUUAUUUACAUGCCUAUGCUCACAGUGAUGCAAUUAUCAUAUCAUCGAUUAGAAUUUGUAAAAUCUCCAGCAGUCCAGCUAUUAUGCUUGUUAGGGACUUGUUUUCACUGAAUGCAUGUCAGAAGAUGCUUCACUGUUUCAUCCUUUAUUGUCUGCACUAGUUUCCCUUAACCAUCCCAUUUCCAUGUUUAUUUGGGAACCAGAUUCCUCUGAACUGGCUUUACAAGAUAAUGAACCACUGUUUGAAUAAGAGGUUUUUACCACACACAAGGCACAUAUGGUUUAAUUAUCUAGUAUGUGCAUUUCAAGAUCAAAACCUUCCUAACCUUACUUUUUUUAUAUGAAAAGAAGCCUCUGCAUACAAAUAUACAGUAAACUGAAGGCAUAUAACUGGUAAAUACAGACAACUGAGAGAAGAAUAAAGAUAAAAGAAAUUUAAACCAUACCAAUUGGGUAAGCGGAAGAAAGUAUGGAAGAAUGUCCUAAUGCCAUCAAUAUCCAGUUGCAGUAUAAGUGCCAGUCCAAAGAGAAAGAAUGCCCUUUGACGUUUCCUUUCUUGUGGCCAAAGAGUAUUCCAAGCUUGCAUUGAGAUGUUUGCAUUAAUUCUUUUACGAGUAAGCUUGCCCUUAGAAUGGUCCUGUUUCAAUAUGUUUGCAAUUACAGAAGCAUAAUUUGGAGCCUCUGACAAUGACCUCACCACAGAAUAGCCUGUGGCUGGGUGCACCAUGCUAGCAGCAGCACCAAAUGCAAGGUUCUUUUGCUCAGUAUUAGGCAAGGAACCACCAACUGGAAUAUAUGACCAUUCCUCUUCAUAGGUUUUCAAAAUUCGGAUUCCCAUCGUCUCUAACCUUGACAUGAGUUUCCUCUUUAACAAGUCAAAAGGCAUAGCAUCUUUGGAGGCCAAACAAGUUUCCUCAAAAAAAACUCUUGUUGAAGACAUGGGCAUGGCAUAAAGAAAUGUUGGAUAUUCAGAUUCUAAACAAGGAACUUUCUGUUUCAUGUAGUCUCUGUAAUCCAUGAAGACCAUCAAACUAGGAUCAUAUGGAUUGUUUUCCACCUCGGCCUCCACAUCAUAAGCUGUUUGGACAGAAACCCGAGGACCCCCCACUUCAAACUGCAAUAGUUUUCCCGAAGCUGCCCCAGAUGCAACAGUGGCAAGCCUACAAUAAUAUAUUAGGAACUUGACGCGGGAUUUAAACUUGAACUCAUUUGUACUAUUGUGAGAAAAGCUUAAAUUGAGGAUAUCACAUUUCACCUGCAGGAAAUAACAUAUCAGGUUCACAUGCUACAAGACUAUGACCAUCAGCAGCUUCAGUGAUUCUAAGAUACCAAACACCUGACUCGACACACCUAGAGGAAAUUAAUACAGAUUAUAUAUUUAUAGAAUACCACUUUUCCACAUCAAAUGAGAUAAACAACAAAUGCAAUAACUGAAGUCUAGCCACUCUUACCUCCUCAACAACUCUUGAUGGAACAAAUGCCCACUAACUCGUCCAUAGGCACUACCAAUAAGAACAGGAUCAUCGUCAUCAAGAUAUACUAUUGUAUCCCGCCAUACGUGCUCAAUGCAUCCUUCAAGCCCAAGAUCUGAAAAACAAAAUAAAUUAUAUUAAAUUCCACUUAGAUAUUAAGGGAUAUUAAUGCAGGCAGGGAAUGUAGUAACGUAAAACUUUCCAGUAGUCAUGAAAGGAGCAAACUCAGGGAACUAAAAUUUAAAAAUAAGAAAAAGAUGUGGAAAGAUUAUUAUUAUAUAAGGGUAGGGUUCCAAAUAGGCAAAAAUGUUAAUUUAAAAAUUGGAAACAGAGAGAAUUUCUUAUCCCAUUUGCAAUUGAUAAAGUGAUUCCAGAAAGGGGCCAAAAACGUUGCCUUUAAACUCAUCCUCCCAGACGCCAUAAUUGUUGGUAAAAGGAAGAUCAGGACUUAUGAGUCCAACACUUAAUCCCAACUUAGCUGAUUCUGCAGCGAGAGCCAGACCAGCUGGACCGCAGCCAAUAACCACCAAAUCCAAUACAUCAUCUCCAAUUGGUAUUGGCAGUAACUGCACAACAUCAGCGGCAACAAGGAAGAAUAAAACAACACGCCAUGUCCUUUCAAAUUAAGUACCUUCGAGAGAGCGAGAGAAAGAAACCUUAUCGGCGAGAUUAGACUGUUUCUCCAUGGCCUUGUCCUGCUGCAUUUGAACAAAACAAGUUCGGAGCCACCAGCCUUUACAUAAUCUUCUUCAUCAGCAAAUUCUUCUUUAAUGGCCACACAACUAUAGCUCCCUGCAAUGCUUGCUUUCACUUGAUAGAAACGACAUCGUUUCUCUGAAAGACCCCCGCGUUUAGUUGUUCUCAGUGUUCUUCUCCUGGACCUUCCCGAAGGGCAUGAAAACACCGCCAUUGCUGCGAAAUUUCGAGCUCCUAGACACUCCAUUUUGGACUUUUUCUUUUAGGUAUUAUAGUCGGAAACUACUUCUUUCCUUUCUGAAUAGAAAAGAAAAGAAAAGGUUUUGGUUUCACUCCAUUUCUACUGUUCACUAGCUCCAAAAAGUAAAGAUCAGGAUCAUGCGUGAAGGUGAGCUCCGUGUUGAAAGCAGAAACUGAAACCUGAGAAGUGAGAAGUAGUGAGAAG